AUUGAACGCUGGCGGCAUGCUUUACACAUGCAAGUCGAACGGUAACAGGCCUUCGGGUGCUGACGAGUGGCGAACGGGUGAGUAAUGCAUCGGAACGUACCCAGAGGUGGGGGAUAACGCAGCGAAAGCUGUGCUAAUACCGCAUGUGAUCUGAGGAUGAAAGCGGGGGACCGAGCAGCAAUGUUUGGCCUCGCGCCUUUGGAGCGGCCGAUGUCGGAUUAGCUAGUUGGUGGGGUAAAAGCCUACCAAGGCGACGAUCCGUAGCUGGUCUGAGAGGACGACCAGCCACACUGGGACUGAGACACGGCCCAGACUCCUACGGGAGGCAGCAGUGGGGAAUUUUGGACAAUGGGCGCAAGCCUGAUCCAGCAAUGCCGCGCGCGGGAAGAAGGCCUUCGGGUUGUAAACCGCUUUUGGCAGGAACGAAACGGUGUCCGCUAAUACCGGGCGCUAAUGACGGUACCUGCAGAAUAAGCACCGGCUAACUACGUG
RNAcentral lists this ribosomal RNA (492 nucleotides) under uncultured bacterium. RNAcentral describes it as "partial 16S ribosomal RNA". It matches the Rfam family "Bacterial small subunit ribosomal RNA", at positions 29 to 507 of the family's 1533-position model. The record is from RNAcentral.